Molecule: long non-coding RNA, 1508 nt
Filed under: Marmota monax (woodchuck)
Lineage: Eukaryota; Metazoa; Chordata; Mammalia; Rodentia; Sciuridae
Source: RNAcentral
UUUAGGUGAUAGCCCUGAUUCAUUUUUAUUUAUUUAUUUAUUUUUCUUUCUAAUGUACAAUAAUAGUAGCACAUAUUGUGGGAUACAGUGUGAUUUCAGUACAUGUAUAAAAUAUGUACCAACCAAAUCAGGGCAGUUGUCAUUUCUCAUUCCCUUAUUACUUCUUUAUGUUUGGAGCCUUUAAAGUUCUUGAUAGUCACCCUUCUAUGCUGUAGAACAUUAGAACUUAUUCCUUUAAUCUAACUGUAUUUUUGUAUCUGUUUUGCAGUCUCCCUCUAUAACUGCUCCCUGCUACCCAUCCUAGUCUCUAAUAAUCACUACUAUACUCUCUUCUACUUUGAGACCAACUUUUUUCAGCUUCCACACAUGUGGGUCUACUUCCCCUUCUGAAAAAGAUCAUACUGUCUUUGUCUUUCUGUGUCUGGUUUAUCUCACUUAACAGAAGGUCCUCUAGUUUCAUCCUUUCUUCCACAAAAUUUAUUAUUUUUAUGGCUCAAUAAUAUGCCACUGUGCAUAUACACUAUUUUCUUCGUACAUUCAGACACUGAUGGGCACGAAGGUUGAUUCCAUAUCAUGGUUAAUGUGAAAAGUGCUGCAAUCAACAUGACUGUCUACUUUUAGAUUAAAAAAACCCUGUUUCUUUUUCUCAUUUUCUACCUCCCAUCUUGUCGGCUGUAGCUAUACUUUUACAAUGUCAAGGUUGAAGAUAUUUACACUCUGCCUGCAAUCAUAGAAAUAUGUGUCUGCCAUUAAUAGUAUGUUUACAGAGUCUGAAAGUUGAAAAUUAACAACCCAAAUUUUUGAGAUAUACUUUGCAUAUUGUUUUAUUUUUAUUGUAAUUAUUCAAUCAUAGUUACAAAAAGAAUGGGUUUCACUGUGGCAUGUCUGUAUAUGCAUCUAUUGUGUUUUUAUUAUAUGCACUCUGCUUACUACCCUAUCUUGUCCUCUCUCUUUCCCACUCUCCCCUCGGUUCCCUUCUUUUUCCACUUUUUAUUGUUAUUAUUAUUUAGUUUUUAUGUAUGGGAGAAAACAUGUAACAUGUUUCUGGGUCUGGCUAUUUUCUCUUAACAUGCUGUUCAGUGCCAUCCAUUUUCUUGCAAAUGACUUGAUCUCAUUCUUCUUUAUAGCUGGAUAAAAUUCUACAGUGUAUAAAUACCAUGUGUUUUCAAUCCAUUCAUUUGCUACCAGGUACCUAGGCUGAUUCCAUAUCUUAGUUAUUGUGAAAAAUGCUUCAGCAUAUGUAAAUACGGGCAUGCUUCAUAUAUGCCCAGGAGUGAUAUAGGAUGAAUAUCCAAUGGUAGAUCUUCUCUAGAAUUUUCAGGAAUCUCUAAAUUGUUUUACAUAGUGACUGUGCUAAAUUAUAUUCACACCAGUGAUAUAUAAGGGUUUCUUUGCCUCCAAAUCCUCUCCAGUAUGAGAGUUUUAAAAUUUUUUAUUACUAUUAUGACAGAGAUAAGAUGGAAUCUCAAUUAAGUUUUGAUUUGCAUUUCUGAUGGCCAAGUGUGUUG